GACGAACGCUGGCGGCGUGCCUAAUACAUGCAAGUCGAACGCUUCUUUCCUCCCGAGUGCUUGCACUCAAUUGGAAAGAGGAGUGGCGGACGGGUGAGUAACACGUGGGUAACCUACCCACCAGAGGGGGAUAACACUUGGAAACAGGUGCUAAUACCGCAUAACAGUUUAUGCCGCAUGGCAUAAGAGUGAAUGGCGCUUUCGGGUGUCGCUGAUGGAUGGACCGGCUGUGCAUUAGCUAGUUGGUGAGGUAACGGCUCACCAAGGCCACGAGGCAUAGCCGACCUGAGAGGGUGAUCGGCUACACGGGGACUGAGACACGGACAAGACUCCUACGGGAGGCAGCAGUAGGGAAUCUUCGGCAAUGGUCGAAAGUCUGACCGAGCAACGCCGCGUGAGUGAAGAAGGUGUUCGGAUCGUAAAACUCUGUUGUUAGAGAAGAACAAGGACGUUAGUAACUGAACGUCCCCUGACGGUAUCUAACCAGAAAGCCACGGCUAACUACGUG
This 508-nucleotide ribosomal RNA is filed under the name uncultured bacterium. RNAcentral's name for it is "partial 16S ribosomal RNA". It matches the Rfam family "Bacterial small subunit ribosomal RNA", at positions 28 to 507 of the family's 1533-position model. The record is from RNAcentral.